Molecule: ribosomal RNA, 459 nt
Filed under: uncultured bacterium
Lineage: Bacteria
Description: partial 16S ribosomal RNA
Rfam family: Bacterial small subunit ribosomal RNA
Source: RNAcentral
CCUACGGGGGGCAGCAGUGAGGAAUAUUGGUCAAUGGACGAGAGUCUGAACCAGCCAAGUAGCGUGAAGGAUGACUGCCCUAUGGGUUGUAAACUUCUUUUAUAUGGGAAUAAAAUGUUCCACGUGUGGGAUUUUGUAUGUACCAUAUGAAUAAGGAUCGGCUAACUCCGUGCCAGCAGCCGCGGUAAUACGGAGGAUCCGAGCGUUAUCCGGAUUUAUUGGGUUUAAAGGGAGCGUAGGUGGAUUGUUAAGUCAGUUGUGAAAGUUUGCGGCUCAACCGUAAAAUUGCAGUUGAAACUGGCAGUCUUGAGUACAGUAGAGGUGGGCGGAAUUGGUGGUGUAGCGGUGAAAUGCUUAGAUAUCACGAAGAACUCCGAUUGCGAAGGCAGUUCACUGGACUGCAACUGACACUGAGGCUCGAAAGUGUGGGUAUCAAACAGGAUUAGAUACCCCUGUAGU